CCUGAUAUGUCAAACGCCCUAAAGUCCCUAAAUCCGUAGGUUAAAAAUUUAAAACACCAAUGGAUGAUUUUAAAAAAUAGAAUAAUUAUGAACAAUAUUAAGAAAUCUUGUUUAUUUUCAAGGAAAAAUAUUAUACAUACAAAUACGCAGAGGUUUAUAAAAUCGCAGACUCCUGCUGAAUAUUGUCUUAAUCAAAUAAAGCAAUACGACUAUGAAAAUUUUAUUUGUACAAUUCUGUUAAAAACUGUUCCUCGUUCGGUUGCUAUAGCGGUACGUAGUUUUAAUGUUGAAAUAUCUAGGAUUGUUGAACAAAUGUCUCAAGAAACAAUUGGUUUAAUGAAGUUAACAUUUUGGGAAGAAACUAUAGAUAAAUGUUAUUUAAAAAAUAUUAAAGAUGUUCCAAAACAUCCUGUUGCCAUUGAAUUAUUUAAGGUGUUUUAGGCAAUAACGAAAGCUGAUUUAAAUAAAAGGUACUUAAAGAAUUUGGUGACAGCAAGAAAAGACAAUAUAAAUACACAUAGCUUUAAAAGCUUAGUAGAUAUCGAAAAGUAUGCAGACCAAACAGUGUCAAGUGCAUUGUACUUAAUUUUAGAAGGUUGUAAUGUAAGAGAUGUUAAUGCUGAUCAUG
Molecule: unclassified non-coding RNA, 628 nt
Filed under: Sitophilus oryzae (rice weevil)
Lineage: Eukaryota; Metazoa; Arthropoda; Insecta; Coleoptera; Curculionidae
Description: nADH dehydrogenase (ubiquinone) complex I, assembly factor 6, transcript variant X1
Source: RNAcentral